UCUGUCUAAAAAACGCUGACAAAGAAUGCAUCUACUUCCUAGUAAAUUCUACAGCUGGAAGGAAGUUUCUAGAGGCACCUCAGCACUGACUUCAGUACCCAUCACUCCACAACUCAAGGAUGGAAACCUUGAACGUCUGAAUUUGCUGAACUGCUUGAGAUGAGACAUCCGUUGUGGACUCUUCUUUUUUGCCCUUUGCUGGAUGGUAGGUGGAGGACAGUUAUCAGAGCUGCAGAGAAGGAAAUAACCUGUCUGGCAUCAGACACUGAUCCUGUUACCAUCUAAUCCACACAGCGGCAGUGGGAGAGCAGAGCAGGAGCCACGAUGGCGGGGGCCAUGGCAGGACAAGCAUUUAGAACGUUUCUCUGCUCCUUGACUGAGUAUUGGUUGAAAGGCAUGCACCCGAAACCCUGCACUCAAAGCCAUGACAUGAGGGACUUGGAUAACAAAUACUUGGAUAAUGAAAACAUCCAAUAAUUAAUGUGCCACCUACUCACCAGGAUCAUGGCCCAACAGGGAAAUGUGGAACAAAGCUCUCCUCAAGGGGAAAGAAAAUGGGAUACACGGCUUGGAAAACCUUCACUAACACUCCCAUAUGAAGAGUGAUAGAAUGCUAAUUUCCCACAGAUUCAUUAUCACCAUGAAAUGAAAUUUUGGAACACAUCACAGGUAAAUGUAAUGUGCAAAUGUAGAAUUCAACAAUUCAAGUUUUAGCUGCCUCAUGUUUUUACACCUCUGUCAACAGGACCCUCAUUAAAUUUUUUUUUCCUAUGAUUGUAGUUGAAAGGAAAACUGAAGAAAAUAUUAUUCUGGAUAGAAAGAUGUCCUUUCCAUCUAACCUUUUAUGAAGGGAGCCCAACUGUGUAUGUGUGUAUAUAUAUAUAUAUACUCCUAG
This 895-nucleotide long non-coding RNA is filed under the name Homo sapiens (human). Its description in RNAcentral is "HSALNT0312060". The record is from RNAcentral. Lineage: Eukaryota; Metazoa; Chordata; Mammalia; Primates; Hominidae.